This 700-nucleotide ribosomal RNA is filed under the name Massilia timonae. Its description in RNAcentral is "bacterial SSU rRNA". It matches the Rfam family "Bacterial small subunit ribosomal RNA", at positions 325 to 1018 of the family's 1533-position model. Lineage: Bacteria; Pseudomonadati; Pseudomonadota; Betaproteobacteria; Burkholderiales; Oxalobacteraceae. The record is from RNAcentral.
CACGGUCCAGACUCCUACGGGAGGCAGCAGUGGGGAAUUUUGGACAAUGGGCGCAAGCCUGAUCCAGCAAUGCCGCGUGAGUGAAGAAGGCCUUCGGGUUGUAAAGCUCUUUUGUCAGGGAAGAAACGGCUGUGGCUAAUAUCCACGGCUAAUGACGGUACCUGAAGAAUAAGCACCGGCUAACUACGUGCCAGCAGCCGCGGUAAUACGUAGGGUGCAACCGUUAAUCGGAAUUACUGGGCGUAAAGCGUGCGCAGGCGGUUUUGUAAGUCUGUCGUGAAAUCCCCGGGCUCAACCUGGGAAUUGCGAUGGAGACUGCAAGGCUAGAAUCUGGCAGAGGGGGGUAGAAUUCCACGUGUAGCAGUGAAAUGCGUAGAGAUGUGGAGGAACACCGAUGGCGAAGGCAGCCCCCUGGGUCAAGAUUGACGCUCAUGCACGAAAGCGUGGGGAGCAAACAGGAUUAGAUACCCUGGUAGUCCACGCCCUAAACGAUGUCUACUAGUUGUCGGGUUUUAAUUAACUUGGUAACGCAGCUAACGCGUGAAGUAGACCGCCUGGGGAGUACGGUCGCAAGAUUAAAACUCAAAGGAAUUGACGGGGACCCGCACAAGCGGUGGAUGAUGUGGAUUAAUUCGAUGCAACGCGAAAAACCUUACCUACCCUUGACAUGUCAGGAAGGCCGGAGAGAUCUGGUUGUGCC